Molecule: small nuclear RNA, 110 nt
Filed under: Rhodnius prolixus
Lineage: Eukaryota; Metazoa; Arthropoda; Insecta; Hemiptera; Reduviidae
Source: RNAcentral
CUAAGUUUCGUUUUUACUUUUACUCAUUCUUUAUGAGUAUUAUGCAGAGAAGAUUAGCAUGGCCCAUGCGCAAGGAUGACACGCAAAAUCCUAAAGCAUUCCACAUUUUA